This 253-nucleotide ribosomal RNA is filed under the name uncultured bacterium. Its description in RNAcentral is "partial 16S ribosomal RNA". It matches the Rfam family "Bacterial small subunit ribosomal RNA", at positions 524 to 776 of the family's 1533-position model. The record is from RNAcentral.
UACAGAGGGGGCAAGCGUUGUUCGGAAUUACUGGGCGUAAAGGGCGCGUAGGCGGCCUGCUAAGUCGAACGUGAAAUCCCCGAGCUCAACCCGGGAACUGCGUCCGAUACUAACAGGCUCGAAUCCGGGAGAGGGAUGUGGAAUUCCAGGUGUAGCGGUGAAAUGCGUAGAUAUCAGAAGGAACAUCAGUGGCGAAGGCGGCUUCCUGGACCAAUACUGACGAUCAGGUGCGAAAGCGUGGGGAGCAAACAGG